AAGGAUUCCCCUAGUAACUGCGAGUGAAGAGGGAAGAGCUCAAAUUUUGAAUCUGGCGGUCGUCUGGCCGUCCGAGUUGUAAUCUAGAGAAGCGUCUUCCGCGUCGGACCCGUGUACAAGUCUCCUGGAAGGGAGCGUCAUAGAGGGUGAGAAUCCCGUCUUUGACACGGACGAACCGAGGCUAUGUGAUGCGCUCUCGACGAGUCGAGUUGUUUGGGAAUGCAGCUCAAAACGGGUGGUAAAUUCCAUCUAAAGCUAAAUACAGGCGAGAGACCGAUAGCGAACAAGUACCGUGAGGGAAAGAUGAAAAGAACUUUGGAAAGAGAGUUAAACAGUAUGUGAAAUUGCUGGAAGGGAAACGUUUGAUGUCAGUCGCGUCGGCUGGGGGUCAAUCUGGCUUCAUUGCUGGGUGUAUUUCCUGGUCGACGGGUCAGCGUCAGUUUUCGUCGCUCGUACAAUGGCAGAGGGAAAGUGGCACUCUUUCGGGAGUGUGUUAUAGCCCUUCGUCGUAUGCGGUGGUGGGGACUGAGGAACUCAGCACAGAAAUGUGUUUAGGAUGCUGGCAUAAUGGCCUUAAGCGACCCGUCUUGAAACACGGACCAAGGAGUCUAACAUGUCUGCGAGUGUUUGGGUGGGCAAACUCGAGCGCGAAAUGAAAGUGAACGGUCGAGACCUCUGUCAUGGAGGGCAUCGACGCCCGGACCGGAGUCAUCGACGAAGGAUCUGCGGUAGAGCAUGCAUGUUAGGACCCGAAAGAUGGUGAACUAUGCCUGAAUAGGGUGAAGCCAGAGGAAACUCUGGUGGAGGCUCGUAGCGAUUCUGACGUGCAAAUCGAUCGUCGAAUUUGGGUAGAGGGGCGAAAGACUAAUCGAACC
This 875-nucleotide ribosomal RNA is filed under the name Harrya chromipes. Its description in RNAcentral is "eukaryotic LSU rRNA". It matches the Rfam family "Eukaryotic large subunit ribosomal RNA", at positions 70 to 941 of the family's 3401-position model. The record is from RNAcentral. Lineage: Eukaryota; Fungi; Basidiomycota; Agaricomycetes; Boletales; Boletaceae.